Molecule: ribosomal RNA, 445 nt
Filed under: uncultured bacterium
Lineage: Bacteria
Description: partial 16S ribosomal RNA
Rfam family: Bacterial small subunit ribosomal RNA
Source: RNAcentral
GCGAGGAAUAUUGGUCAAUGGGCGAGAGCCUGAACCAGCCAAGUCGCGUGAAGGAAGAAGGAUCUAUGGUUCGUAAACUUCUUUUGCAGGGGAAUAAAGUGCGGGACGUGUCCUGUUUUGUAUGUACCCUGAGAAUAAGGAUCGGCUAACUCCGUGCCAGCAGCCGCGGUAAUACGGAGGAUCCGAGCGUUAUCCGGAUUUAUUGGGUUUAAAGGGUGCGUAGGUGGUUUGAUAAGUCAGCGGUGAAAGUUUGCAGCUUAAGUGUAAAAAUGCCGUUGAAACUGUCGGACUUGAGUGUAAAUGAAGUAGUCGGAAUGCGUGGUGUAGCGGUGGAAUUGAUAGAUAUCACGCAGAACUCCGAUUGCGAAGGCAGUUUACGAAGCUAGAACUGACACUGAAGCACGAAAGCGUGGGGAUCAAACAGGAUUAGAUACCCGGGUAGUCC